Molecule: ribosomal RNA, 485 nt
Filed under: uncultured bacterium
Lineage: Bacteria
Description: partial 16S ribosomal RNA
Rfam family: Bacterial small subunit ribosomal RNA
Source: RNAcentral
GAUGAACGCUGGCGGCGUGCUUAACACAUGCAAGUCGAACGGAAAGGCUCCUGCUUGCAGGUGUACUCGAGUGGCGAACGGGUGAGUAACACGUGGGUGAUCUGCCCUGCACUUCGGGAUAAGCCUGGGAAACUGGGUCUAAUACCGGAUAGGACGAUGGUUUGGAUGCCAUUGUGGAAAGUUUUUCGGUGUGGGAUGAGCUCGCGGCCUAUCAGCUUGUUGGUGGGGUAAUGGCCUACCAAGGCGUCGACGGGUAGCCGGCCGGAGAGGGUGAACGGCCACACGGGAACGGAGAGACGGUCCAGACGCCUACGGGAGGCAGCAGUGGGGAAGAUUGGACAAUGGGCGCAAUCGUGAUCCAGCCCGACCGCGUGGGUGAAGAAGGCCUUCGGGUCGGAAAGCCGUUUUGUGGGGAAAGAAAAGCAGCAGGUGAAUACCCCGCUGUUCUGACGGUACCCAAAGAAUAAGCACGGGCUAACUUCGUG